UUACUUCGGAAGGAGGUGGUUCGGCAGAUGUAUGCAUACCGGACGGAAGAGGUGGCUGCGGGCUAACGGCCCGGCACCCCACCCAGUGCGGUGCCGGACCAGCGUGCGCAAGAUACACGCAGCCGGCCCAAACCAACGCAGUCACCCGACCCGCGAGCUCGCCGGUACGUCCGGCCGGCUCCUCCGCCGUCAGGCGGAGGGACCCGAGCUCGCGGGUCGUCUGCG
RNAcentral lists this small RNA (225 nucleotides) under Streptomyces dysideae. Its description in RNAcentral is "Streptomyces sp. RV15 Actinobacteria sRNA Ms_IGR-5". It matches the Rfam family "Actinobacteria sRNA Ms_IGR-5". The record is from Rfam by way of RNAcentral. Lineage: Bacteria; Bacillati; Actinomycetota; Actinomycetes; Kitasatosporales; Streptomycetaceae.